Molecule: ribosomal RNA, 265 nt
Filed under: uncultured bacterium
Lineage: Bacteria
Description: partial 16S ribosomal RNA
Rfam family: Bacterial small subunit ribosomal RNA
Source: RNAcentral
CUCUCAAGAAGUUAGCGGCGGACGGGUGAGUAACACGUGGGUAACCUGCCCAUAAGACUGGGAUAACUCCGGGAAACCGGGGCUAAUACCGGAUAACAUUUUGAACUGCAUGGUUCGAAAUUGAAAGGCGGCUUCGGCUGUCACUUAUGGAUGGACCCGCGUCGCAUUAGCUAGUUGGUGAGGUAACGGCUCACCAAGGCAACGAUGCGUAGCCGACCUGAGAGGGUGAUCGGCCACACUGGGACUGAGACACGGCCCAGACUCC